UAGAAUGAACCGGCGAGUUGCGUUAGUCAGCAAGGUUAAGUCAGAAAAGACGGAGCCGUAGCGAAAGCGAGUCUGAAGAGGGCGAGCAGUUGGCUGACGCAGACCCGAAACCAAGUGACCUACCCAUGACCAGGUUGAAGGCGCGGUAAAACGCGCUGGAGGACCGAACCCACGUAAGUUGAAAAUUGCGGGGAUGAGUUGUGGGUAGCGGUGAAAUUCCAAACGAACUUGGAGAUAGCUGGUUCUCUCCGAAAUAGCUUUAGGGCUAGCCUCGCAAAGAGGAUGCUGGAGGUAGAGCUCUGUUUGGACUAGGGGCCGUCAAGGGUUACUGAAUUCAGAUAAACUGCGAAUUCCAAGACAUUUAUGUGCGGGAGUCAGACUGCGAGUGAUAAGAUCCGUAGUCGAAAGGGAAACAGCCCAGAUCAAGCCAGUAAGGUCCCAAAAUUCAUGCUAAGUGGAAAGGAUGUGGAGUUGCGCAGACAACUAGGACGUUGGCUCAGAAGCAGCCAUCAUUCAAAGAGUGCGUAAUAGCUCACUAGUCGAGUGACGCCGCGCCAGAAAUUACCGGGCUAAGCAUGAUACCGAACUUAGUGGAUGUGCGUUAUGCACGUGGUAGGAGAGCGUUCUAGCGGCGGUGAAGC
Molecule: ribosomal RNA, 641 nt
Filed under: Lactobacillus delbrueckii subsp. bulgaricus
Lineage: Bacteria; Bacillati; Bacillota; Bacilli; Lactobacillales; Lactobacillaceae
Description: bacterial LSU rRNA
Rfam family: Bacterial large subunit ribosomal RNA
Source: RNAcentral